Molecule: long non-coding RNA, 1789 nt
Organism: Gallus gallus (chicken)
Lineage: Eukaryota; Metazoa; Chordata; Aves; Galliformes; Phasianidae
Source: Ensembl
ACUGGAGCUCCCUGCAUACCUGAGGCCUUCUAAGGGCCUGAAGAUCAGCCACCCUGGAGGAACGUGAGUUGGCUCAACGUGGCAUCUUAUCAUUCAGAGGCAGCCCGGGGAGCAGCUGGUGGGGACAGCACUUUGGCAGCAGGUCAGCUGUACGUUGUGCUAUGUUGCGUGUGACACUGCCAGGGAAGCUGAUCAGAAGAUGGUAAGGCAUGUUGAGCAAAGCUCCAUUGUGUCAUUCUCUUCUGAGGCCAUACCUCAGCAGCUUCCCUGGGUCAUCAGUGCUUCCUGUGACAAGCUAGCCAUCUGUACCACAACCAAUGGGAGACGUGCUGGUCAUACUGAAGAGAGUUCCAGUGCCCUCUGACUACCAUUUUAUGGGGAGGUGGUUUUGGAGCAGAAGAGCUGGACCAUGUUGUCACAUCUCUCACUCUUCAUUUCUCUUGGGAAUUGUGGACAUCAAUGGACAAACUGUGGCACCGAAUGAGGCAUAAACUUGGGAUCAUAGCUACGUUCACAUUUAUUUACAAUUUAUAGACAGUAUGUUUUUGUCAGCCCCACAAUUGCUCUGAGUUCUCUUUGCCUGGUGGAUUUUUAUCAGGAUAUCCCCAACGAUCAUGCAGAAUGUGAUUUGUUUUAUUUUCCUUGAGAAAGAUGGGCGGUUGAGGAGGAAGGAUGUUGGGUUUUUUUCUGCAUUAAAGCCAGCAAAGAAAAGAAAGCAGCUGAAACCUAAGAAAAUUGCACUACUAAUCAUAUUUUCAUAAGCAGUCCUCUGUAGCAUUACAGUCACAGAGUAUAUUUAUAAUUUGGUUUAUAUGAGCAACAGUUUAAGUUGAGGAAAAUUGGUUUCCUUCUCAAAAUGUCAUGUUUCUCAUUUCCUCAGAAUCUUGGGCUGCUUCGAGCUCUUAUCAGCCUUUAAAUCAUUCAGAAGCACACUCCAUAAUUAAAAUGCCGUAAAUCCUCAUGAAUCAAUUUAGUUUUUUUGAUUUGUUCUAAAACAGAUUUAAAUAAAAUUGAAAGCUCACUAAAAUAUGGGAUAAUAAACGCAAGUGCAAAGCGAAAGGAAGAUAAACCCGCUCUACGAUGGUAGCUGGCGGUGGAGUCAGAGCUGAAAUGGGAAGUGACGCCUUCCCAACACAACGGAGACAGUCCUGUGCUCCCCAGAACAGGAACAAGCUGACUCUCAUUUCUGGUAAGGGCACUCUUGUGGCUUCCUUUAGUUGUUGCUGGCUUGGUUUUGGCUUCUGCUCCCAUGAAGAACCUGUAAUGUAGACACUCUGCUCCACUCAAGGAUCAGUGUCCGUUUGUUGCUUGUGCCAGUGGAGGGACAGGAUUUCCAAUGGCGUGCAAUUAGUUAUAUUCUAUUUCUUCCUCGUAUAAAGGAAACAAAUUGGACAGAAGUAUCUGCAGGGCUCAUAUCUUCCUUCAGCAGUGCCUUCUUUACUUGUCACACAUUGUUAAUGUCCUUUGUCGCCAAUCACUCCACAUAGUUUGUUUUGCUUUGGAUAUUUUUUUUCCCUUAUCUCCUUUUCUUCUGGAGUGUUUCAAGUUCUCUCUCGCAGCCACAGCAUUCAAGCACUCUCCUGGCUCCACAAAGUCCCCUCUGCACUACGUGACAUUCUUUGCUGGGCGUCUGCUUGUGGCUUUGCCAAUACUUCUUGCUGUUUCUCCUAAUGUUCCUCUGCAUUUUUAUUCUGUACUCCGAUCAAUAUUUGUAUCUUGUAGGGAGCUCUGAAAUUCUGCUCCCUUCGAGCGACGAAAUAAAGAAUUGCAAGAUUGUCUCUGCAGCCUC